Non-coding RNA from Triticum aestivum (bread wheat), 149 nucleotides. Lineage: Eukaryota; Viridiplantae; Streptophyta; Magnoliopsida; Poales; Poaceae. The record is from Rfam.
CAUGUACUCCCUCCGUCCGGAAAUACUUGUCAUCAAAAUGGAUAAAAGGGAUGUAUCUAGAUGGGAUGUAUCUAGAUGUAUUUUAGUUCUAGAUACAUCCCUUUUUGUCCAUUUUGAUGACAAGUAUUUUCGGACGGAGGGAGUAAGUA